UAGAUGGCGCGUCGCCCUCAGCCCUGGCCACCUAUCGUUCAGGCUUAUUUUAAAUACUUGACUUUGGUUUUCUUUUUUGCCCAAUGUUGGUUCCUCAACAACAAUACCGUCUCGUAUGAUGAAAAACCGACCUUAGCCCACUAAAGCCUCCCUAUUUAAAUAGUUAAACUACUUGAGGUAAAUGGCGGAAAAUAUUAACGAUUGUAAAUUCUUCUUGUGGAUUCAUGCCAUCUUUCCUCUGAACUUAAAAAAAACUAUAUUUUUCACCUGAACUGCGCUAACAUUAUUAAAUUUUCAUUAUUUUCGGUGGAAAAUUGAGAAAGCCAUUUAUGCUUUCGGCCAAUGAAAAUUGUCAAAAAUGUUAAGCAAAAUAUAAAGCUGCAACAACAUGUUUUACAAUGCUUUUUUGAGGAUUUUCAUUGGCCGAAAGCAAAAAUCAAGUUCCAUGUUAAGUACAUGUUUAAGUACUUAAUUUAAAAGUAUCGGUUAUUACCGAUUCAUACCCGAUUCAAAUAAAUACCCAUAUAUACUGUCUCAUUUUCAAAAAAUACUGACGAAUUUAAGUUCCAUCAUAUAUAUUCCUCGUUUUUAAUAUUCCGUCGAAUAUCUAGAUAGAACCCUCAGCGUACCCUGCUUAGCGUACUGGGCUAAAAUUUAAUCAAAAGUUAAAUAAUAGGCCAUAUAGCAAAUAACGGGUUCGAGUACCGUAGUACUUUUCUG
This is a long non-coding RNA of Drosophila miranda, 720 nucleotides long. RefSeq lists it as uncharacterized. The transcript has 2 exons. NCBI's taxonomy places the organism in Eukaryota, Metazoa, Arthropoda, Insecta, Diptera, Drosophilidae. The record is from RefSeq and is a predicted model, not a curated record.